Molecule: unclassified non-coding RNA, 285 nt
Filed under: plant metagenome
Description: partial contains small subunit ribosomal RNA, internal transcribed spacer 1, and 5.8S ribosomal RNA
Rfam family: Eukaryotic small subunit ribosomal RNA (bases 1-54)
Source: RNAcentral
GGAAGUAAAAGUCGCAACAAGGUUUCCGUAGGUGAACCUGCGGAAGGAUCAUUAUUGUAUAACCGAGGUGCGAGGGCUGUCGCUGACCCGAAAGGUCGUGCACGCCCGAGUGCCCUCACCCACAUCCAUCUCACCCCUAUGUGCACCACCGCGUGGGUCCCCCUUUGGCUUGUUCGGAGGGGGGCUUACGUUUUCACACAAACUUUGUAUGCAGUGUAGAAUGUAUUUUUUGUUUUUGCGAUCACGCAAUCAAUACAACUUUCAACAACGGAUCUCUUGGCUCUC